This is a long non-coding RNA of Hyla sarda, 684 nucleotides long. RefSeq lists it as uncharacterized. The record is from RefSeq and is a predicted model, not a curated record. NCBI's taxonomy places the organism in Eukaryota, Metazoa, Chordata, Amphibia, Anura, Hylidae. The transcript has 3 exons.
CUUUUACUCUUGACAGGGUGUGGUAAAUCUCUCCCAGUAUCACCAUGGUACAAGAACCAAUGUGCACAAAUGCUUUUGUGAUAUAGUUUGAUCAUUGAUUCCAUACAACCUGGCAGUGAACAGCAGUGUGUGUCACUAUAAUACAAGAUACAGUAGCACAAUAAAGGGGUGAGGGCCACAGAGGGUGCUAAAAUGGCACAAGGAGAGGCACUGAUCAUGAUGUAAACCGGACCUAAGAAUACUGAAGGAAGGUAAAGCAUAAGGUACAUAAAAUCCCAAAGAUCCUUCAAUAUCAUCAUUCCUGCUAGUGACAGAGCAAUUCCUUCUCCUCCCUUUUCAUCUCAGAGUUUGGAUGUUUUGGAAAGACGCUUUCCCAUGCUUUCAUUAAGGAAAGGUAACACCCACUAAAAAUGGGACAUUGCCUUAGGCUUCUCUAAGCGCCCUAUGCAGGUCUAGCCCUUGCCACCUCUCUGGCUAGACAAACCCAGCAAGGAGAAUCUAUGUGGCCUGUGCAUUGGAUAGAAACAAGAAAGAAACAUAGAUGCAUCGGUGAAGCAGGGACUUCCUGACUAACAAGCCCUGCAAGUUGCAAGUAGACACAGAGAGGAAUAAAAAAAAGAGCAGAGCUCCUACCAAUUUAUGUAAUAUAUUUUACUAAUAUAAAUGUAAAAAUAAAAGUUUGAC